Molecule: ribosomal RNA, 1030 nt
Filed under: Pinus taeda (loblolly pine)
Lineage: Eukaryota; Viridiplantae; Streptophyta; Pinopsida; Pinales; Pinaceae
Description: bacterial SSU rRNA
Rfam family: Bacterial small subunit ribosomal RNA
Source: RNAcentral
ACUCUGUGCCAGCAGCUGCGGUAAGACAGAGAAUGCAAGCAUUAUCUGGAAUGAUUGGGCGUAAAGCAUCUAUAGGUGGCUUUUCAAGUCUGCCGUCAAAUCCCCGGGCCCAACCCUGGAUAGGUAGUGGAAACUACCAAGCUAGAGUACGGUAGGGGUAGAGGGAAUUUCCGAUGGAGCGAUGAAAUGCGUUGAGAUCGGAAAAGAACACCAAACGGCGAAAGCACUCUGCUGGGCCGACAGCUGACACUGAGAGGACGAAACUAGGGAGCAAAAACUGGGAUUUAGAUACCCCAGUAUAGUCCUAGCCGUAAACAAUGGAUACUAAGUGUUUUGCGUUAUCGACCUCGCAAGUACUGUAGCUAACGCGUUAAGAUUCUCGCCUAGGAGUACGUUCGCAAAGAAUGGAAACUCAAAGAAAUGACAGGGCCAACAACGUGGAGCAUGUGUUCAAUUCGAUGCAAGUGAAGAACUUACCAGGGCUUGACAUGCCGUGAGAUCUCCUGAAAGAGAGGAGUGCUUCGGGAACGCGACAAGGUGGUGCAUGGCUGUCAUCAGCUCGUGCCGUAAGUGUUGGGUUAAGCCCGCAAUGGAGUGCAACCCUCAUGUUUAUUGCCAGCAUUUAGUUUGGAACCCCUUGAACAGACUGCCAGAGUGAUAAAGCAGAGGGAAGGCUGAGCGAUGACGUCAAGUCAUCAUGCCCCUUACGCCCUGGGCACACCGUGCUACCCCCCCAAAUGACAGGGACAAAGGGUCGCGAACCCCGCGAGGCAACUAACCUCAAAAAACCCCGGCCUCAGUCGGAUUGCAGGACUGCAACUCGGCUUGCAUGAAGCCGGAAUCGCUAUAAUCGCUGGUCAUGCCAUACGUGCAGUGAUCCGUUCCCGACCUUGUACACACCGCCCGUCACACUAUGCGAGCUGGCCAUGCCCCAAGUCAUUACCUUAACCACAAGGAGGGGGAUGUUGAAGGCUAGGCUAGUGACUAGAGUGAAGUCGUAACAAGGUAGGCGUACUGGAAGGUGCGACUG